GACGAACGCUGGCGGCGUGCUUAACACAUGCAAGUCGAACGGAAAGGCCCUGCUUUUGUGGGGUGCUCGAGUGGCGAACGGGUGAGUAACACGUGAGUAACCUGCCCUUGACUUUGGGAUAACUUCAGGAAACUGGGGCUAAUACCGGAUAUGAGCUCCUGCUGCAUGGUGGGGGUUGGAAAGUUUCGGCGGUUGGGGAUGGACUCGCGGCUUAUCAGCUUGUUGGUGGGGUAGUGGCUUACCAAGGCUUUGACGGGUAGCCGGCCGGAGAGGGUGACCGGCCACAUUGGGACUGAGAUACGGCCCAGACUCCUACGGGAGGCAACAGUGAGGAAUAUUGCACAAUGGGCGGAAGCCUGAUGCAGCAACGCCGCGUGCGGGAUGACGGCCUUCGGGUUGUAAACCGCUUUCGCCUGUGACGAAGCGUGAGUGACGGUAAUGGGUAAAGAAGCACCGGCUAACUACGUG
RNAcentral lists this ribosomal RNA (468 nucleotides) under uncultured bacterium. RNAcentral's name for it is "partial 16S ribosomal RNA". It matches the Rfam family "Bacterial small subunit ribosomal RNA", at positions 28 to 507 of the family's 1533-position model. The record is from RNAcentral.